RNAcentral lists this ribosomal RNA (468 nucleotides) under uncultured bacterium. RNAcentral's name for it is "partial 16S ribosomal RNA". It matches the Rfam family "Bacterial small subunit ribosomal RNA", at positions 28 to 507 of the family's 1533-position model. The record is from RNAcentral.
GACGAACGCUGGCGGCGUGCUUAACACAUGCAAGUCGAACGGAAAGGCCCUGCUUUUGUGGGGUGCUCGAGUGGCGAACGGGUGAGUAACACGUGAGUAACCUGCCCUUGACUUUGGGAUAACUUCAGGAAACUGGGGCUAAUACCGGAUAGGAGCUCCUGCUGCAUGGUGGGGGUUGGAAAGUUUCGGCGGUUGGGGAUGGACUCGCGGCUUAUUAGCUUGUUGGUGGGGUAGUGGCUUACCAAGGCUUUGACGGGUAGCCGGCCUGGGAGGGUGACCGGCCACAUUGGGACAGAGGAGGCACCAGGAGUCCUACGGGGGGCAGCGGUGGGGGAUUGUGCAAAAAGGGCGGAGGCCGUGUGCAGGAACGCCGCGUGCGGGAGGACGGCCUUCGGGGUGGAAACCGCUUUCGCCUGUAACGAAGCGUGAGUGACGGUAAUGGGUAAAGAAGCACCGGCUAACUACGUG